UCACUUUUUCCUCCCUUCUUUAAACAAAAGAACCAACCCUAAUCUAUAUCUCUCUCCGUCAAAACAAAACAGCCGUUCCACAACCCUCUCUCACCUCUCAUCAAAAAACAACCACCGUAUUGAGCCGCCGCCACCGCCACCGCCUCCCACCAAUCGACGGAACCGCACAUCAAUCCGCCAUCGCCGCCGCCUCCCACCGACGACUUCACCAAAUGGUCGCCGCUCAACCAACAAAACCCCACAACAGCGGCUGCUUCCACCGCCGGCGAAUCCAAGCCAGCCGCACCGCCGCCAAGACAUUAUCGAAGCUCCAUUGGCAAACCCAACAGACUCGCGACUCAAUUACAAACAGACUUUCCAUAGGAUGUAUUGAAGGUGGAGCUCUCCAAUCUUUUCAUUUGUAUAAAUAUUAGUUUCUCUGUUACACUAAAUAAAAUUGUGGAAAGUUAGGUAGGUAAGGACGUGGAAAAUUGGAAAUAAUCAGAUCCAAUAAUAUUGUUAAUCAUAUGACUUAUUUCUGACUUCAAAUUAAUCAAUUAGAAAACAAACUACCAAAUAAUUAACUUUUAUCUACUAAUCAUAAUUAUAUCUUUACAUGAAACAUUGUUAUUUUCUAGAGUAUCUGUUUUAAGUCUUUGGAAACAUGGCUCGUUAUACUCUUAACUAUUGCAAUAUAUCAAAGUUAUUGUCGUGGGCGAUUAAGAGAAUAUUAUUUUGAAUCAGAUGUUUUCAAAGUACACAACUUAGUAAACCGUCCGGACAAUCAUAACAACACAUAAUAUCUAUCUACAUUACAGUAUAGUAUUCUAAACUGUCACAACAAAUGCCAGUCAAGAACAACUCCUGCUAGAGCUACUGGUUCGAUACAAAUACAGUUUUUUAGAUGUAAUAGAAAGUUUACUGAAGUGGAAAAUACAGGAGAAUAAUUUGUAUUUAAGCUAGCAAUGUGGUUGUCACGACCCAAAAACGAGGGUCAUGAUGACACUUGUCGCAAUGUACCUUGACAAGUAAGCCUAUAAUCCAACCUGAUACGAAAAGAAGAAGACAGAAAUAUCCCACGGUAAGGCUUUUAGAAUGAAGCCGAACCAUAUAAGUAAUCAUAACAAUGCUGAAAGAACUUAUCCAAAAUACCAAUCAUGCCCAAAAUGUGUCAAUAGUGUAAGAACUAUUAAUACAAUUCAAGAGUCAAAUACAUCGAAAAAAUAACCACAAAAAGAAUAAUAUCUGUCUCCGAAUACUAAUAAAAACAUAACUACUUUAGGAAGAUAGAGGUGAACUUCGGAUGCAUGAAUAUCCAACCGCUACCUUGGAAGCUCCAACAAUCGCCCGAGUCAAGAAAUCUGAGGCGCACUAGAGCUAGGACCUGCACCGAAAGGGCGCAGUAGGCAUGAGUACGGUCCACUUGUACGCAGUACGUAUCAUAGGCCGACCAAGCAAAGUAGUAAACAAAACAUACAAAUAUACACUAAGGGCACUUCACCUGCAAUCAGAAAAUGUCCCAGAACGGUAGCUCACACCGCUUGCACUAAUAGUUCUAAUAUAUAUCACAUAUAUUACAAUGACACACCAAGAUAUAAAACACAAAUAUACAUUAUGUCACAUAGAAAUAGAACAAUAGAGAACAUGUAGCUAUAAGAUCAUCAAAUACAAUUAAAGGAAGAUAAGACAAAUACAUAGAUGACAAGUCAAUAAGGCAAUACAACACAACAUAAAUACAAUAAAGCGCAACCUCUAGGAUUGUUGCACAAUUCUCGUAUACACCUACGGAGCUAAAGUUUUCCGACGUAGGAUCCAUGGGGGGUUCGUCAACUUAUAUACAAUCUAUAUAUCUCAUAUAUCCUUUCCGGCAUAUUCUUCGAAAAGAGUUUUAUAAGGUGUUACAAUAUUUUUAAAAAGGUGUAGCCAAUGUUUCUCAGAUGUUGCCAUGGUGGUACCAAUGUUUCAUGAAUGAGUAUGAUAUGAAGAUAUAAUGCUCACAACCAAUCACAAUGAGUAUUUCCACAAUCAAUCACAUGAUAUAUUUCCACAGCCAACCACAAUGAUACAUUCCCACAACCACAUGAGCCAAUAUCCACUUAUUAUUUUCGUUUUAUCCAUGAAUUUUCAUAUGUCUCAUACACCAAUAAAGUAUGAAUAUAAUCACAAUACAACAGUGGUACCACAUUAAACAAUACAAUACAAUUAUUCACAUGUAUUCAAGGCUAUCAAUAUCAUAUAGGACCCCACACGGUCAAACAUAUCACAUAAUAUCUCAAUUUCGACAAUUACAUCACGUAUAGGCUCCCGCAUGGGCACAACACAUAGAUAGCCAUUUUUCAUGAUUAGUUCCCACCCUUAACACGCAUUUUGUACCAUCAUUUACUAUCCAACUCAGUUUGAAGAGUUAAGCCAUAACCUACCGCGAAAGCCGAAAUCGGUCCGCUACACUUGAACCCGCGACCUUACUUUUCACGAAUAAUCCUGAAUUUCACUAAAAAUAUCAAAUAUGAAAUCUACACGUCAAUACAAAAUCAACGACAUCCAUAUUGACUAUUUUUUAUUCGGGAUCAAAAUAGACCCUUAAAAUGGAUUUUCAAAAAAGAAGAAAAAAAAUCGAAACUUUACUUCAAAAAAAUGUUCCCCAUAUUUUUAGGAACCUACUGCUGAAAGCCCAAGCUAAAUCGAGUAAAAAACGGGGUUCAAAUCGAAGAAAAAUUAUUUUGAGCUUUAUCGGGUAAAAUCUUUGAAAUUCGAGUUAAAAUCAAGAAUCGGAGUUGUUCUAAAGGUUAAAUUGAUGAAAAACUAGUAAUUAUGAUAUAAAAAUAUUAUUCAAGUGAAAAGAGUGAAAUUUUGGUUUAAAAUUAUGCCCUAAGAUUUUUGUGGUUUUGAGUAAUUUAUUAAGAAAUUAUUUAAAAAAAGGGUGAAUUCUUACUUUAAAUCCGUAAUAAAAUCAAGAAAUAGAUAUUAAUCUAUCUUCUCAAGAUCCCACAAGCUUCCUUUUAAGCUCUCAAACUAUUUAAGGUUUAACUCUCAAAAGACAAGAUGAAAAAUGAGGAAAAAAAUGAGCCCAAAACUGAUUUAAAUGGUGCAGAUUUUCUGCACCAGCUAAGUAAAGAGCUGCAUUUUUUUUUCCCAAGUUCAAACGGCCUUCGACGGGAUGCCCGGGAUUCGUUCGCAGUCCGAUACAUACAAACGAACUAUGCAACCAUACUAAAUUCGACGUUUCAAACUCGUUGGUGAUAGCAAAUUUUUCAAAAAAUAUCAUUUUCAUAAAGUUGACCCCCAAAAUCCGAAAUUAUAAUUUUUCAAACCGAGGGUCAAAAUGAGAUUUAAAAUACGUAAAAUCAUACCAAAUAUGCUAACACCCUAAAAUCGACAUUCUGGAUCUGCUGGCGAAGUCAGAUUUUUCAUCCGAGGUUAUUUCGAUCAAAUUUGGGUCCCACACCCAUAUUUCCAAUUUUUCAACUUUUCUAUCAAUAGGUCAAAAUGAGCUCGGGUGCACUGGGACCAGAACCAAGGGUUUACCUAGCCUAAAAUUGAUAUUUCGGAGCUGCUGAAGCAGUCCGUUCAGUCAUCUAUCGGACAAAUCAAAAGAUAUCCACAUAAGUCCAAAAUAAGGUUCUCGAAGCCAUAAAAAAAAUCACAAUAUUGCAUAAAUGAUACCAAAAUGCAUCAAAAAUUAUGUCAAUCACUCCCACACUUUAGAAAUAUCAUAAUGCAACUACGGGGAGGGAUAAAAUAAUCAAAUCACAUAAAAUCAUAAAUUUCACAUAUUUCAUCAAAUUUUUAGGUCAUUACAUUGGUUGACUGGUAGGACUAACAAGUGCUUUAUUGUUCAUUACUGUCAAGUUAAUUUGUAUUUAAGUUAGUAAUAUGGUUGACUGAUAGGACUAUGAAGUGUAUUAUUGUUCAUUACUGUCAAGUUAUAUUAAGUACUCCAUUUCAAUUUGUUUGUCUAGUUUAACUUAUAACGGAGUUUAACAAAGUAACGAACAUUUUGAAAUAUUGUGAUCUUAAAUUAAAAUUGUAUAUAACGAUCAAGUGUAGUAUUUCAAAAUAUGUACAAGUGACUUCAAAAUGAUUAGUGUACUCACUUGAGAAGUGGAUUAGUGAUUUAAAAAUGAUUUGGUGUAGUUACAUGGAAGGUGAACUUGAAAACGGUUAAGUAUAAUUACUUGAAAUGUGAAUUAGUUAUUUAAAUAUGAUGAAUUGUAGUGAUUGUAAAUGUGUACUAGACACUUGAAAAUGGUUAAAUGUAUCGACUUUAAAUCUGAAUUAGUUACUUGAAAAUGGUCAAGUGUAGUCACUUGAAAUGUGUACUAGUGAGUUGAAAAUGGUUAAGUGUAGUGACUUGAAAAUGGUUAAGUAUAGUGACUUGAAAUGUCAAUUAGCUAUUUGAAAAUGGUUUGAGUGUAGUGCCUUGAAAUGUGUACUAGUGACUUGAAAAUGAUUAAGUGUAGUUACUUGACAUUGCAAUCUUGUGACUUGAAAACGGUUAAGUGUAGUUACUUGAAAUUGUGAACUUGUCACUUGAAAAUGGUUAAGUGUAGUUACUUGCAAUUGUGAACUUGUGACUUGCAAAUGGUUAAGUGUAGUUACUUGCAAUUGUGAACUUGUGACUUGAAAAUGAUUAAGUAUAGUGACUUGAAAUGUGAAUUAGUUAAUUGAAAAUAGUUAAGUGUAGUGAUUUAAAAUGUGUACUAGUGAUUUGAAAAUGUUAUAAGUGUAGUGACUAGCAAUGUGAAAUAGUUAUUUGAAAAUGAUUAAAUGUAGUGACUUGAAGCGUGUAGUAAUGACUUGAAAAUGGUUAAGUGUAGUUACUUGAAAAUGGUUAAGUGUAGUCAUUUGAAAUUGUGAACUUGUGACUUGAAAAUGAUUAAGCGUAGUUACUUGAAAUGUAUACUUGUGUCUUUAAAUUGGUUAAAUGUAGUGACUUGAAAAGUAUACUAGUGACUUUAAAAUGGUUAAGUGUAGUCAUUUAAAAUUGUGAACUUAUGACUUGUAAAUGAUUAAGUGUAGUUACAUGAAAUUUAUAUUUGUGAUUUUAAAAUGGUUAAGUGUAUUCACUUGAAAUGUGAACUAAGUUACUUGAAAUUAUGAACUUGUGACUAGAAAAUAAUUAAAUGUAGUGUCUUGAUAUGUAUACUAUUGACGUUAAAAUGAUUAAGUGUAGUGACUUGAAAUGUGUACUAGUGACUUGAAAAUAGUUAAGCGUAGUUACUUGAAAAUGGUUAAGUAUCGUGACUUGAAAUGUGUACUAGAGACUUGAAAAUGGUUAAGUGUAGUUACUUGAAAUGUGAAUUAGUUACUUGAAAGUGGUUAAGUAUUGUGACUUGAAAUGAAUGAUUAAGUGUAGUGACUUGAAAGUGAUUAAGUAUAGUUAUUUGAAAUGUGAAGUAGUUACUUGAAAAUGGUUAAGUCUAAUUAUUUGAAAUGUGAAAUAGUUAUGUGAAAAAGGGUUAAGUAUAGUGACUUGAAAUGUGGAUUAAUUAUUUUAAAAUGGUUAAGUAAAGUGAUUUGAAAUGUGUACUUGUAACUUGAAAAUGGUAAUGGUUAAGUGUAGUGACUUGAAAUGUGAAUUAGAUACUUGAAAAUGGUCAAGUGUAAUGACUGGAAGUGUGUACUAGUGACUUGAAAAUGGUUAAGUAUAGUGACUUGAAAUGUCAAUUAGCUAUUUGAAAAUAGUUUGAGUGUAAUGACUUGAAAUGUGUAUUAGAGAAUUGAAAUAUGUACUAGUCACAAUAAUCUUGAAAAUCAACUUUGAGUUUAUGCUGCUUUAUAUGCUAAUAUCUGCAUGUUUCUAUUUGUUGAUUGUUAUUAUUUUAUUUGAUACUAUAAUGUCAACUUUGUCAAAUGAAAUUGGUGAGAUGAUUAAGUCUCAGGUUGAUGCUUCAAAUGAUGAUUUGUAUGCUCAGUUACAGAACGAGCGACACAAAAAUAAGAGGAUGAGAAAGGAAUUGGACUUGUUGAUGAAGAAUGUAUACAAGAAAUCAUCUUCAAAUAAUGAACGCCUAUCUCAAGAAGACAACCAAGCUUAUGAGGAUGAAAGUGAUGAUGACUUUGACGACGUAAAUGAAAGUGAUUCUAAUCCUAAUAAGGUGGAUGAAACUGACUCUGACCCUGAUGGUUGGUAGUUUUACAAGUUUGAAAUAUUUUGUUUUGGACCAUUUAUGAAUCAUACAUUAUUGAUGUAGAUGUUAUGAAUUAUGUUUUUUUGUUAGCUGUAAUGAUUUACAUUAUACUUGUAUUGAAUGAUGUUUUUUGAGAAUUAUUGGAGGUUUUGAAUAGAUUUUUGACUAAUUG
This 6282-nucleotide long non-coding RNA is filed under the name Capsicum annuum. RNAcentral's name for it is "long non-coding RNA (CANN_LNC021118)". Lineage: Eukaryota; Viridiplantae; Streptophyta; Magnoliopsida; Solanales; Solanaceae. The record is from RNAcentral.